This is an RNA transcript of Rhododendron vialii, 1727 nucleotides long. RefSeq lists it as uncharacterized. The transcript is spliced from 4 exons. The record is from RefSeq and is a predicted model, not a curated record. NCBI's taxonomy places the organism in Eukaryota, Viridiplantae, Streptophyta, Magnoliopsida, Ericales, Ericaceae.
CCGACGGAACCCGCCGCUGAUUUUUUGACACGAGAUCCCGCGUUAACUCCAGCGGAAGUUGCAAAUUUGAUAGAUGAAAUACACACUUUCCCAUUAACCGAAAACUUGGGACAAUUUGACCGGCCCCAACAAAUUAUAAUCCACAGACAGUUGUAUGCUUACGGCCACUGGGCAACCCAAGUAGAUGACAAUGUCCAUCAGAUAACAAAUCUUGAGAGACUGUAUUGUUGAGCUGGUGUUAGAGUCUUGAGUGAGACAUGUCUUCCCGUGGUUAACGAGGCGGACACGAUAUCUGUCAGUAGGUUGAGGGCUGAAUUUGGUUGCAUACUAGACCCGAUGUAUCCGCGUGAUAUUACCGAUUUCCCAGAUGUCGAACAACAUCAACAUGUGAGGGCAUCGGCUGAGGCGAAUGGCUUUUGGAUUCGAUGAGGAGACAUAUAGUCGAUGAGGGGAUACGUAGGGGAUGUUUGUAAGUAGUGAGAAUAUUUACUAUCUUUGUAGAAUGCUGAAAUUGUUAUUAAUUUUUCUUGCGGUGGCAUCUAUUUUGUAGUGUUUUGGACGAUUAAGUGAAAGUUUGUAACUUGUGAGAGAUGUUUUUUACUGGGGUGUAUGGUGUCUAUUUUUUGUUUCCUUUUCAGGAUUGCCGUAAGUUGUUUUGUUGUUUCUUUAUAAUCUGUCUGCAUAUUUGUUGUGCCAGCACUAUUUAAACAAUUUUGUGUUGUGUCAAAUCCAGCAUUAAGGCAGGAAAUAGUUUUGAACCAUGGAUAGUUUCUGGUUCCCUAAGAAUUGAUGGAUGAUGACGUUAGUUCCCUCUGAAAUCUGAAUUUUGGAAGAAUUAGAUGAUAUCAUCGGGAAUGGCUUAAAGGAACUAUUUUAUGACGAGAAUGUUGAAGCGGUAAAAUCUUGGCAAAUUCAUUAUGAUGAUUCGGCCAUCGAUAGAUUGGAGACAAGGGGGCUAAUUUGGAUGAAGCAGAAGAAGAUGGAUUCUUCAAGGCUUUUAAGCUCCAGAAGAAAUUUCAGUCGCUGACUGUGGUAACCCAGAUCGCUUGGAAAUUUGUCGGCUUUAUGGCGAGAUCCAGCUCAUUCCGUUGUAUGGGACACAAUGGUACCUGGAAGAAAGAGAACAUGUGUCGGUCGUCCAAAGCCAUCUUCAGUGGAGAAGCUUACUAAAGAUCUAUGCACGAUCUUACAUGAAACAGAGGUCCUCCCACAUAUCUGUAUCUUAUGAAGAGGAUUUUCUUUUUGAGAGCGACACAAGUAUGGUCUCUGUUGAGAUAGGACAUGGAAGCAUUCUUAUUUGAUAUCCGAGCUCUAUAUCCUGGGAACAGGAAUCUGAAGCUAGCUCUCUUUCAGUUGAGAACAAAAGACACCCACCAAACGAGGCAAUUCACAUUUGGCCGCCCUUCCUGUUGAUAUUUAUAAGAAAAAAGGUACCAACUUUCAAGUCCAGGGAUAAAAAAAAUGCAAGAAACCUAAUGGACAAGGGCUGCAACAUAUGUAGAUUAAAAGGAUUGCGUUUCUUCUAAGUUAACCAGGAAAAGUCAAACUCCACUCGUGGUACUGGUUUUACGAGUGUGAGAAUCAAGGAUCAAAAUGUUGUUUCGGCUAAUUCUAGAUACUCCAUUAGGGGAGAUUAUUGAGGGAACAGGAGCUAACUUGCGGCACCACAUUGAUGGCCCCGUUCGUGCUUUCCCAAGCCUUUAUUUCACUCUUUUCCUUAGUUUUCA